RNAcentral lists this ribosomal RNA (94 nucleotides) under Clostridium sp. Lineage: Bacteria; Bacillati; Bacillota; Clostridia; Eubacteriales; Clostridiaceae. The record is from RNAcentral.
AACACUCCUUUCCAUUCCGAACAGGAAAGUUAAGCUCUACAGCGCCGAUGGUACUGCAUGGGAGACUGUGUGGGAGAGUAGGACGUUGCCAGGU